RNAcentral lists this ribosomal RNA (305 nucleotides) under uncultured bacterium. RNAcentral describes it as "bacterial SSU rRNA". It matches the Rfam family "Bacterial small subunit ribosomal RNA", at positions 337 to 640 of the family's 1533-position model. The record is from RNAcentral.
ACCUACGGGAGGCAGCAGUGAGGAAUAUUGGUCAAUGGUCGGGAGACUGAACCAGCCAGGCCGCGUGAGGGAUGAAGGUACAGAGUAUCGUAAACCUCUUUUGUCAGGGAACAAAGGCGGGGACGUGUCCCCGGAUGAGUGUACCUGAAGAAAAAGCAUCGGCUAACUUCGUGCCAGCAGCCGCGGUAAUACGGAGGAUGCGAGCGUUAUCCGGAUUUAUUGGGUUUAAAGGGUGCGCAGGCGGUCUGUUAAGUCAGCGGUCAAAGCCCGGGGCUCAACCCCGGCCCGCCGUUGAAACUGGCAGC